CAGUCGCCACGGUAAUACGUAGGUGGCAAGCGUUGUCCGGAAUUAUUUGGCGUAAAGGGCUCGCAGGCGGUUUCUUAAGUCUGAUGUGAAAGCCCCCGGCUCAACCGGGGAGGGUCAUUGGAAACUGGGAAACUUGAGUGCAGAAGAGGAGAGUGGAAUUCCACGUGUAGCGGUGAAAUGCGUAGAGAUGUGGAGGAACACCAGUGGCGAAGGCGACUCUCUGGUCUGUAACUGACGCUGAGGAGCGAAAGCGUGGGGAGCGAACAGGAUUAGAUACCCCCGUAGUCCCUGUCUCUUAUAU
Molecule: ribosomal RNA, 301 nt
Filed under: uncultured bacterium
Lineage: Bacteria
Description: partial 16S ribosomal RNA
Rfam family: Bacterial small subunit ribosomal RNA
Source: RNAcentral